Molecule: ribosomal RNA, 1155 nt
Filed under: uncultured Microgenomates group bacterium
Lineage: Bacteria
Description: bacterial SSU rRNA
Rfam family: Bacterial small subunit ribosomal RNA
Source: RNAcentral
AGAGUUUGAUCCUGGCUCAGGAUGAAUGCUGGCGGCGUGCCUGAGAUAUGCAAGUCGUGCGCACUUAGCUGUUAGCACCUAGCUCUCGGUAGUUAUGAGAAAUAUUCUCGUGGCUUCAGGGCUGUGUGCUAAUAGUUUAAGUCAGCGGCGGACGGCUGAGUAACACGUAGGAACCUUCCCCUCGGCAAAGAAUAGCCCCGCGAAAGCGGGGGUAAUACUUUAUUGUUCCCGACGCAAGUUGGGAUAAAGAGCGUAACUGCUCACCAAGGGACGGUCCUGCGGCCUAUCAGGUAGUUGGUGGGGUAAUAGCCUACCAAGCCUAUGACGGGUAGCUGACUUGAGAGAGUGGUCAGCCAGUGGGGCACUGAGACACGGGCCCCACUCCUACGGGAGGCAGCAAUCAGGAAUAGUCGGCAAUGGGCGAAAGCCUGACCGCGCGACGCCGCGUGUGAGAUGAAGCUUUAACAAGUGUAAAUCACUGUGGUAGGGGAAGAAGUUCCGAUGUAAGUCGGGAUUGACGGUACCCUACUAGAAAGAGGCCGCUAACUGCGUGCCAGAAGCGUCGGUAAUACGUGGGCCUCAAGCAUUAUCCGGUUUUAUUGGGCGUAAAGGGUCGUGUAGGCGGUUUGAUAAGUUAUUUUUUAAAUUUCAUCGCUUAACGGUGAAAUUGGGGAUAAUACUGUCGAACUAGAGUUUUUUUUAAGGAGAAUGGAACUUAAGGAGGAGCAGUGAAAUGCGUUGAUACCUUAGGGAACACCAGCGGCGAAGGCGAAUCUCUGGAAAAAGACUGACGCUGAGACACGAAAGCUAGGGGAGCGAAGCAGAUUAGAGACCUGCGUAGUCCUAGCCUUAAACGGAUGUCUGCUAGCUGCAUUAGUUCGACUUUUGUCGAUCAUGGUGUGGCGAAGGUAACCCGUUAAGCAGACCGCCUGGGGAGUACGGCCGCAAGGUUGAAACUCAAAGGAAUUGGCGGGGAGGUACACAACCAGUGGAACAUGUGGUUCAAUUCGAAACGAACCGAAGAACCUCACCAGGGUUUGACAUCCAGAAGUUCUAUCCCGUAGAAAUAUGGGAGAUUCGCAAGAAGAUCUGGACAGGUGCUGCAUGGCUGUCGUCAGCUCGUUCCGUGAGGAGUGCCCUUAAGUGGGACAACGA